Long non-coding RNA from Hyaena hyaena (striped hyena), 258 nucleotides. RefSeq lists it as uncharacterized. The record is from RefSeq and is a predicted model, not a curated record. The transcript has 2 exons. Lineage: Eukaryota; Metazoa; Chordata; Mammalia; Carnivora; Hyaenidae.
AACGACAGUAUGAGUGAGGCUGCCGAACCAGGAAGAGCAAGCACCAAGAACUUCUCCUCUCGUCCUAUGCUGACCAGUUUGAGGUAAGGGCAAUGUGGUGGAGUAUAAGGAGUACAGAUAAAGUUCUGGUUGGGUUACAAAUCUUGACCCCUAUUCUUCCCCAUACUGUGAAGAGCUCAAUCCAGCCUAUUGGAAGAUGAGAGGCCAUGUGGAGAAGAAUCAAGAUAUCCUAGCCAACAGCCCGCACUAAGUGCCAAG